Molecule: ribosomal RNA, 326 nt
Filed under: uncultured eukaryote
Lineage: Eukaryota
Description: partial 18S ribosomal RNA
Rfam family: Eukaryotic small subunit ribosomal RNA
Source: RNAcentral
CCCUUAGAUGUUCUGGGCCGCACACGCGCUACACUGAAGGAGGCAGCGUGUACUCCUGGAUCGAAAGAUUUGGGUAACCCGCGAAUCUCCUUCGUGCUAGGGAUUGAGGUUUGCAAUUAUCCUUCAUGAACGAGGAAUUCCCAGUAAGUGCAAGUCAUAAGCUUGCGCUGACUACGUCCCUGCCCUUUGUACACACCGCCCGUCGCUCCUACCGAUUGAAUGAUCCGGUGAGGCCCCCGGAUUGUGGCAAUGGCUCUGGUUCGCCAGACCAAUGCUGCGAGAAGCUGUCCAAACCUUAUCAUUUAGAGGAAGGAGAAGUCGUAACA